GGGCAGCGACGGCAUCUCCGCCACGCUUCUUCAAUGGUGGGAACAAGCUCGCACUUGUCCGCAGUCGGUUUUCCUGUGUUGCAUACCUGUUUUGACGGCAUUCUUUCGGCUAAAAGGUCUAAUCUCCGCCUUGUGUCGGUGCUCCGUGCGGGCGCUCGGCGCGGGGUGGAACUCAUGGCUUGCGUCGUGUUUCGCGCCGCAUUCACCUAACUCGGUGUUUGGGUAGGCGAGCCGCGACGUGAUWCCCGUUGUCUCGGGUGCGGAACAUCGGGUGGGUUUGAGGCAUUGACCUCUAAUGACCACACAAAUGCGUUCAACGCUUUAUGCGAACGACGGCCGCGCACGACUUUCGUCGGAACAAUUUUUUGCUCGGUCGAAKUCGUGUCGGCGUCGGUGAGGGAUGCUACCUGGUUGAUCCUGCCAGUAGUCAUA
This 432-nucleotide unclassified non-coding RNA is filed under the name Hyptis lantanifolia. RNAcentral describes it as "partial contains external transcribed spacer and 18S ribosomal RNA". The record is from RNAcentral. Lineage: Eukaryota; Viridiplantae; Streptophyta; Magnoliopsida; Lamiales; Lamiaceae.